UUAGAGAUGGUCCAUGGAGCAACCAAGGGUGAUGUGGGUUAAUCUUGGUGACCAAGUACUUUAUAUGAUGGCCAAGCAUAGGAUAUGUUUUGUGAUGGCCAAGUAAUAUGAGUGAUUAGCAAGUUUACUUAAUUGUUAAGCAAAUGAAUAGAAAGGAGGUUAAUUAAGGAGGUGGGAUGAUUAAUGACCAUAAUGCCCUAACUUUGCCAAGUCUAUAAAUAGCAAGUUAGAUUUUAUUAUUUUGCUUGUUCAUUUUCC
RNAcentral lists this long non-coding RNA (258 nucleotides) under Panax ginseng (ginseng). Its description in RNAcentral is "long non-coding RNA (PGIN_LNC009172)". Lineage: Eukaryota; Viridiplantae; Streptophyta; Magnoliopsida; Apiales; Araliaceae. The record is from RNAcentral.